GAAUUAACAUCAUGUUUAAAUGUAAUGUUACAAACUCAAAAGAGAUAACAAAGGGAAGAGUAAGUGCACAACAACAUACAUCUUAGCCUACCGCUCUAAAUCGCAGCUACGUUACUAUUAAAACUAACAGUACUCCCAACUCACGAUGUUAAGAGUAUCUUUAGCCUGAUCACCUACAAAAUCAAUUCACCUUUUUGAUUCAUAUUUUACCCGUGUACGACUAAUAAUUUCCCCUUUGGCCUAGCUGUCAUCCACCGUGGCAUCUAACAUGGAUUUAGGCUCCACGUCUUACAACACGUAGAUCCUAUCCAAAAAUCAUCAUUUGAUAUCACCACAAAAUGUUUCUCUUAUGGUAAGUCCUUCGUAGGCUCUGAAAUAAGAGUUUUCUCAGAUUCAAAGUCUUGACCUCCCCACUUGCGUAGGCGCUCUGCAGACUGCUCAACCUCUUUAUUCCAAUCGAUUCUAUAGAGUACAAAUGAGAGAAGCAGUGUCUGCAAAGCAAGUCCUGCAAUCAUUCCUCCCCAUAGUCCCAUG
This 534-nucleotide unclassified non-coding RNA is filed under the name Hevea brasiliensis (rubber tree). Lineage: Eukaryota; Viridiplantae; Streptophyta; Magnoliopsida; Malpighiales; Euphorbiaceae. The record is from RNAcentral.